ACCCUUGCUCAACUUGUUGUUAUUCUCCCUGAGCGAUGGCGUCCAAAAAGCCUGAUAAAACCUAUGAAGAAAUGGUCAAGGAAGUAGAAAGGCUUAAACUGGAGAAUAAAACACUUAAACAAAAGGUUAAGUCUUCAGGCGCUGUCUCAUCAGAUGAUAGCAUCUUGACAGCUGCCAAGAGAGAAAGUAUCAUUGUCUCUUCAUCCAGAGCACUAGGAGCAGUGGCUAUGAGAAAAAUCGAGGCUAAAGUCAGAUCCCGGGCGGCCAAAGCUGUUACAGAGCAGGAACUAACCUCUCUUCUCCAAUCGCUGACCCUGAGAGUUGACGUGUCUAUGGAGGAAACUACUGUGGGUGCCAGCGGAGGGAUUGGCCCAUCCUCUCAAACAGAGACCAAGAAAAGAAGACCCAGGUCCAAAUCAAGACACAGACAUGAUCAUGAAUAAAAAGAAACACUUGAAUCUAUAA
RNAcentral lists this non-coding RNA (465 nucleotides) under synthetic construct. The record is from RNAcentral.